GAUGAACGCUAGCGGCAGGCCUAACACAUGCAAGUCGAGGGGUAGCAGGAUUAAGCUUGCUUAAUUGCUGACGACCGGCGCACGGGUGCGUAACGCGUAUGCAACCUACCUUAUACUGGGGUAUAGCCCGGAGAAAUUCGGAUUAAUCCCCCAUAGUACUAAUGAAUCGCAUGGUUUAUUAGUUAAAGCAUUGCGGUAUAAGAUGGGCAUGCGUCCUAUUAGCUAGAUGGUGAGGUAACGGCUCACCAUGGCUACGAUAGGUAGGGGGCCUGAGAGGGUGGUCCCCCAAACUGGUACUGAGACACGGACCAGACUCCUACGGGAGGCAGCAGUGAGGAAUAUUGGUCAAUGGGCGCAAGCCUGAACCAACCAUGCCGCGUGCAGGAAGAAUGCCCUAUGGGUUGUAAACUGCUUUUAUUUGGGAAUAAACCUCUUUACGUGUAGAGAGCUGAAGGUACCAAAUGAAUAAGCACCGGCUAACUCCGUGCCAGCCGCCGCGGUAA
Molecule: ribosomal RNA, 503 nt
Filed under: uncultured bacterium
Lineage: Bacteria
Description: partial 16S ribosomal RNA
Rfam family: Bacterial small subunit ribosomal RNA
Source: RNAcentral